GACGAACGCUGGCGGCGUGCUUAACACAUGCAAGUCGUACGGUAAGGCCCUUUCGGGGGUACACGAGUGGCGAACGGGUGAGUAACACGUGAGUAACCUGCCCACAACUUUGGGAUAACGCUAGGAAACUGGUGCUAAUACUGGAUAUGUGCUCCUGCUGCAUGGUGGGGGUUGGAAAGCUCCGGCGGUUGUGGAUGGACUCGCGGCCUAUCAGCUUGUUGGUGGGGUAGUGGCCUACCAAGGCGGCGACGGGUAGCCGGCCUGAGAGGGUGACCGGCCACAUAGGGACCGAGGGAAGGCCCAGGCGGCGAAGGGAGGAAGCAGGGGGGAAGAUUGAACAAUGGGCACAAGGCGGAUGCAGCAAGGCCGCGGGCGGGAUGACGGCCUUGGGGGUGAAAAACAGCUGCAGCAGGGAAGAAGCUUGUUGUGACGGUACCUAAAGAAGAAGCACCGGCUAACUACGUG
RNAcentral lists this ribosomal RNA (465 nucleotides) under uncultured bacterium. Its description in RNAcentral is "partial 16S ribosomal RNA". It matches the Rfam family "Bacterial small subunit ribosomal RNA", at positions 28 to 507 of the family's 1533-position model. The record is from RNAcentral.